UUAAGCGACUAAGCGUACACGGUGGAUGCCCUGGCAGUCAGAGGCGAUGAAGGGCGUGCUAAUCUGCGAUAAGCGCCGGUAAGGUGAUAUGAACCGUUAUAACCGGCGAUACCCGAAUGGGGAAACCCAGUGUGACUCGUCACACUAUCAUUAACUGAAUCCAUAGGUUAAUGAGGCGAACCGGGGGAACUGAAACAUCUAAGUACCCCGAGGAAAAGAAAUCAACCGAGAUUCCCCCAGUAGCGGCGAGCGAACGGGGAGGAGCCCAGAGCCUGAAUCAGCAUGUGUGUUAGUGGAAGCGUCUGGAAAGACGCGCGAUACAGGGUGACAGCCCCGUACACAAAAGCGCAUGUGCUGUGAGCUCGAUGAGUAGGGCGGGACACGUGGUAUCCUGUCUGAAUAUGGGGGGACCAUCCUCCAAGGCUAAAUACUCCUGACUGACCGAUAGUGAACCAGUACCGUGAGGGAAAGGCGAAAAGAACCCCGGCGAGGGGAGUGAAAAAGAACCUGAAACCGUGUACGUACAAGCAGUGGGAGCACCCUUUGGGGUGUGACUGCGUACCUUUUGUAUAAUGGGUCAGCGACUUAUAUUCUGUAGCAAGGUUAACCGUAUAGGGGAGCCGUAGGGAAACCGAGUCUUAACCGGGCGUUAAGUUGCAGGGUAUAGACCCGAAACCCGGUGAUCUAGCCAUGGGCAGGUUGAAGGUUGGGUAACACUAACUGGAGGACCGAACCGACUAAUGUUGAAAAAUUAGCGGAUGACCUGUGGCUGGGGGUGAAAGGCCAAUCAAACCGGGAGAUAGCUGGUUCUCCCCGAAAGCUAUUUAGGUAGCGCCUCGUGAAUUCAUCUCCGGGGGUAGAGCACUGUUUCGGCUAGGGGGCCAUCCCGGCUUACCAACCCGAUGCAAACUGCGAAUACCGGAGAAUGUUAUCACGGGAGACACACGGCGGGUGCUAACGUCCGUCGUGAAGAGGGAAACAACCCAGACCGCCAGCUAAGGUCCCAAAGUCAUGGUUAAGUGGGAAACGAUGUGGGAAGGCCCAGACAGCCAGGAUGUUGGCUUAGAAGCAGCCAUCAUUUAAAGAAAGCGUAAUAGCUCACUGGUCGAGUCGGCCUGCGCGGAAGAUGUAACGGGGCUAAACCAUGCACCGAAGCUGCGGCAGCGAACGUAUCACUUAAAGCGAUUCAGCGGGUUACGAUUGACGGAGCGAAGCGACGUCAAAGCGUAUACAAAGUCGAGUCGGUUUAAGGAUACGUUCGUUGGGUAGGGGAGCGUUCUGUAAGCCUGUGAAGGUGGCCUGUGAGGGUUGCUGGAGGUAUCAGAAGUGCGAAUGCUGACAUAAGUAACGAUAAAGCGGGUGAAAAGCCCGCUCGCCGGAAGACCAAGGGUUCCUGUCCAACGUUAAUCGGGGCAGGGUGAGUCGACCCCUAAGGCGAGGCCGAAAGGCGUAGUCGAUGGGAAACAGGUUAAUAUUCCUGUACUUGGUGUUACUGCGAAGGGGGGACGGAGAAGGCUAUGUUGGCCGGGCGACGGUUGUCCCGGUUUAAGCGUGUAGGUGUGUGUUCCAGGUAAAUCCGGUUCACUUUAACACUGAGGCGUGACGACGAGGCACUACGGUGCUGAAGCAACAAAUGCCCUGCUUCCAGGAAAAGCCUCUAAGCAUCAGGUAACAUCAAAUCGUACCCCAAACCGACACAGGUGGUCAGGUAGAGAAUACCAAGGCGCUUGAGAGAACUCGGGUGAAGGAACUAGGCAAAAUGGUGCCGUAACUUCGGGAGAAGGCACGCUGACACGUAGGUGAAGUGAUUUACUCAUGGAGCUGAAGUCAGUCGAAGAUACCAGCUGGCUGCAACUGUUUAUUAAAAACACAGCACUGUGCAAACACGAAAGUGGACGUAUACGGUGUGACGCCUGCCCGGUGCCGGAAGGUUAAUUGAUGGGGUCAGCGCAAGCGAAGCUCCUGAUCGAAGCCCCGGUAAACGGCGGCCGUAACUAUAACGGUCCUAAGGUAGCGAAAUUCCUUGUCGGGUAAGUUCCGACCUGCACGAAUGGCGUAAUGAUGGCCAGGCUGUCUCCACCCGAGACUCAGUGAAAUUGAACUCGCUGUGAAGAUGCAGUGUACCCGCGGCAAGACGGAAAGACCCCGUGAACCUUUACUAUAGCUUGACACUGAACAUUGAGCCUUGAUGUGUAGGAUAGGUGGGAGGCUUUGAAGCGUGGACGCCAGUCUGCGUGGAGCCGACCUUGAAAUACCACCCUUUAAUGUUUGAUGUUCUAACGUGGACCCGUAAUCCGGGUUGCGGACAGUGUCUGGUGGGUAGUUUGACUGGGGCGGUCUCCUCCUAAAGAGUAACGGAGGAGCACGAAGGUUGGCUAAUCCUGGUCGGACAUCAGGAGGUUAGUGCAAUGGCAUAAGCCAGCUUGACUGCGAGCGUGACGGCGCGAGCAGGUGCGAAAGCAGGUCAUAGUGAUCCGGUGGUUCUGAAUGGAAGGGCCAUCGCUCAACGGAUAAAAGGUACUCCGGGGAUAACAGGCUGAUACCGCCCAAGAGUUCAUAUCGACGGCGGUGUUUGGCACCUCGAUGUCGGCUCAUCACAUCCUGGGGCUGAAGUAGGUCCCAAGGGUAUGGCUGUUCGCCAUUUAAAGUGGUACGCGAGCUGGGUUUAGAACGUCGUGAGACAGUUCGGUCCCUAUCUGCCGUGGGCGCUGGAGAACUGAGGGGGGCUGCUCCUAGUACGAGAGGACCGGAGUGGACGCAUCACUGGUGUUCGGGUUGUCAUGCCAAUGGCACUGCCCGGUAGCUAAAUGCGGAAGAGAUAAGUGCUGAAAGCAUCUAAGCACGAAACUUGCCCCGAGAUGAGUUCUCCCUGAGACUUAGAGUCUCCUGAAGGAACGUUGAAGACGACGACGUUGAUAGGCCGGGUGUGUAAGCGCAGCGAUGCGUUGAGCUAACCGGUACUAAUGAACCGUGAGGCUUAACCUU
This 2985-nucleotide ribosomal RNA is filed under the name Salmonella enterica subsp. enterica. Its description in RNAcentral is "23S ribosomal RNA". It matches the Rfam family "Bacterial large subunit ribosomal RNA". Lineage: Bacteria; Pseudomonadati; Pseudomonadota; Gammaproteobacteria; Enterobacterales; Enterobacteriaceae. The record is from RNAcentral.